GACGAACGCUGGCGGCGUGCCUAAUACAUGCAAGUAGAACGCACAGUUUAUACCGUAGCUUGCUCCACCAUAGACUGUGAGUUGCGAACGGGUGAGUAACGCGUAGGUAACCUGCCUGGUAGCGGGGGAUAACUAUUGGAAACGCUAGCUAAUACCGCAUAAUAUUAAUUAUUGCAUGAUAAUUAAUUUAAAGUUUCAAUUUCACCACUACCAGAUGGACCUGCGUUGUAUUAGCUAGUAGGUGAGGUAACGGCUCACCUAGGCGAAGAUACAUAGCCGAACGGAAAGGGGGAUCGGCCAAACUGGGACUGAGACACGGCCCAGAAUGCUACGGGAGGCAGCAGGAGGGAAACUUCGGAAAUAGACGAAAGUCAGACCGAGCAACGCCGAGUGAGUGAAGAAGGUUGUCGGAUCGUAAAGCUCUGUUGUAAGAGAAGAACGGGUGUGAGAGUGGAAAGUUCACACUGUGACGGUAACUUACCAGAAAGGGACGGCUAACUACGUG
Molecule: ribosomal RNA, 505 nt
Filed under: uncultured bacterium
Lineage: Bacteria
Description: partial 16S ribosomal RNA
Rfam family: Bacterial small subunit ribosomal RNA
Source: RNAcentral